CAGAAGAAACGAAAAGGCAAGCAAAACCCAAACGGAGCACACACUGCAGUCACCGGGUGGGAACUGGAGUAAUUGCAGAGAAAGCCGAGCUCCUGUGUAGCAGUCAGACACUUUUGGAGGCACUGCAGCCUGGCUCACGGGCAGAAGAGCAGGGUGAUAUUUCCAAAUCUUGAGGAUACUGGGAAAACAAGAGAGGAUGGAGUGUGUAGGAAAGAACAGGAAGAUUCUAGAAGAGUAGCUUGAAGCCUGUGCCUUGUUCAACGGGAUUUGUACUACUCUGGACUGUGAAAAUGAGUUGGACAUUCAUUUCCAAGGUUACCCUGGGUCAGAGGCUGCUGAUGGGCAUAUAUUUGUUUUGUCUGGCUCCCUGUUGCUUGAAAUCAACACCUCAAGCCCCUUUUAUUAGAAGACAUCCCUCACAAGAAAAGCCAAGGUGAUUGUCACAUGCAUUUAGUUACUUCAGCCAAUGACUCAAGCUCCUUCCUACAGCCUUUGACAAGAGAAAGGUGAAAUAUCUUUCUGAAGUCCAGUGAGAAGGCAUUAUGAAGCGUCAGGAGUUUCUUUCAUCAGUGAUGGCAGAUGGUGAUCGACCCCUGCUUCAACAUCUGGGUACAUCAUUGUUUCAUUUUCAGGAAAGAUGUAGCAAACAUGCUUCUCUGCAGAGGAUGUAUUGCCCUCCCAUCCACACUCCUUUCCCAUUAGAUCAUCUUAAUGAAAACAUCAAAAGAAAAUUCAGUUACAUAAUUUCUUGUUGAACACAACAUCUCAGUUAGAGGUAACUAAGAUGAAGUGCUAUAGAGAGAGUUGGGUCUUAAAUACAUGCAAUCCCUUUAAAUAUAUCAGAAAAUGUAAGUAAAUGAGCAAUGAACCCAUUAGCCAAGUCCUUAUGCUCCUUUCCUAAUCUCUGAUCUGCAUCUGAUGCAAGAAUUAUGUGAUCUGAUGCAUUUCAGGGCUCCUAACCUGUGGUGUACCCUGAAGAUUUUUUUUUUUACCCUACAUCAUGACUUGAUUUACCUUCCAUUACGAAGUACUGAGGAAGUCCUUACAUAGCAUGAUGUCUAAAAAAGGCAAGUUUAUAAAAAAGAUAAAAAGGCGUGAAUUACUGGAGACAUUAAUUAAUUUGUUUUUCCUGAAUUCAAUCAUUUCCUAACUUCUGAGAAGCAAGACACUUUUGUGAUUUUACAUCUGGUUACUGCAUCAUCAGUACACUGAUACUGGAAUUCUGAACUUGAAUGUGUAGUAGAGGGAUUUUUGGUCAGACUGCUAAUGUCUGUAUGUUUUAUUGCUCUAGUUGAUCAGUCUCACUGAAUUAAUUGUUAGUGCAAUGGGAAGGAAGUACAUAUGUUUUUUGCGUAUUUGAAUCUGGCAUCCAUCUAUCCCAAAGGAAAUAAAGUUCUAUCUUCAUAUCCUUCAUAUCCUUCUCCUCCUUCCUCUUCCUCUUCCAUAAGCCUAUUAACCUAUAUUAAAAAUAAGAAUGAAAAUAAAACAAUAUUUUAGGGUAUACAGAAUUGAAACAAGUUAAUUUGUGACGGACAGUAUUUUGGAAAUGAGGAUCUUCUGUGGUGUCUCAGGUUAGUCACACAAAAUCUAUUGCAUCACUAUAAGACCUUUUGUUCAGUAUAUGAGUGUUUACUCCCAACAAAUAUGUUUUUCUUCUCCCAUGUAAUAAAUGCUUGCAUUGUCAAAUGAAGACAGUCAAUUUUAACUGUAAAUUACUCAAUUUGCAAGAAUAUUUUGUGUUCUUUACACUUCAAACUCAUGUUGAUGGAAAAAAUUAUUAUUCUGGAGAGAAUCCAAUUUUUAAAAGGUUAAAUUCUGUUUCCUUGACCUAUUUUUAGUAAAAUAAAACACACUUCUCUCUGCAGCUUUGCAUAUAACAACAGUCCCAAGGCACAAUGCCUAAUAAAGAAUUAACUAUUUUGUUGUCCUAUAGCUGCAACGUUAAAAGCAAUAUAACUGUUACUUUCCACUCCUAUCUUUUAUUCCCCCCAGCACUCUUUCUGUAAGAAAUCAUUUUGUUGAUGGAGGAAAAGACAGAUCAUCUGGGCAAGCUAACAAGUUACAGCCCCAUGGGAGUUACACAAUGCAAGAGCACCUGUGGUGCAUCAGAUCAAAAGAGCCAUGGCCUAGUGGGCCAUAGCAGCUUCUGAAGGGAGAAGGUAUGCAUUGCAAGGGCAACCAUGUAUGUGAUGCUUCCUCUAAGUGUUCUCCCAGUUUCCAAUCAUUUGGGACUCAGGGACUUCCUGAGCUGGACAUAACCAUCCUUGGCCUUUGCUGCCCUGGGCUAGCACACUUGCCUUUUGACCCUAAAUAGCCUUUUAGCACACACAUCAGCCUUCAGGCAAAAGUGACUCUUCAAAUCAUUCAUGCUUCACAGAUUUCUACCACGCUUCCCCCAGUUCAUCUCUUUCCAGGCUAAAAAAUUCAGUCUACACAACCAUCCCUUGCAAGAAAUGAUGACCCUGUGGUCAUCUUUCUCAGCCUUCUCUUAAUAUUCUCCAGUUAGUGGUAAUAUUCCUCUAAUUCAUUAUCACAGGUUAUCUACAUAUAUCUGUUUUUAAAAGUGCCUCAAGACCUUUGUGUUUCCAUUCUAGCAGCUUCUUCAAGGUACUGAGUAUUCAUAUUACACUGUGGCCAGGGUACGUAAGCAAAUGAAUUCAGGCUCUGAAGCAGCAAAGCUUUCCUUUUGCCUUAAAGUCACCUAACAGGAGGUAAGUAAUCCCAUUACAGGUGGGUGUAUGUCAAGCCUGUUGAGGGUGUGUUUGGUGAAGGGCAGCAUUCAUUCUGCAACCUGGCCGUGUGAUGCAGCUCUUACAGAGGGUGUGAACUGCUACCCAAAAGAUCACUGCCUGGAAGUAAUACAUCCUCUCUCCCCAAAUGCCCUGCCUCAUCUGCACCCCUUUCAUGUGCUCUACAUGAAAUAAGGCUGCUGUAUUCACAUGGAGAAUCCCAUGACAGUGCAGUGUUCCUCAUUAUGAGAUUUAAGAACCAUUUGAAAAACUAGUCUGAUAAAUACUGAAAAACGCUGCUUGGCUGCUGCUCAGCGUGAAGGAAAUCUAACCAACUGCAGGCUAGACGUUUGUCGUGCAAAACUACAAUGCUGUGCUUUCACCAUCCUUCUGGCUUCUGUGCAAAUGAGUAAAAGUCUUUCGAAGCAAAAAACAUUCCAGGCAAUAUUCACGUUUCUCAUCAUUCAGCCUCCUUUUCUGAAAGAUCACUGUGAAAUCACUGCCUAUUCCUGAAGAAGUCCUGCUCUAAGAUACAACCCUGUGCAUGUCCCACUGCAACUGAGCAACCUCAGCCUCAGAAGAACAAGUAGAUGAAGAUCCUCAUCUUCAUCCUCCUUCAUAGGAGCAAUAUGACUCAGGGAUAUUUUUCCCGUUGAUGUAACACUAAGAAACCUACCUGGUCAGUACGUUUAUAAAUAUUGUGUUUCGAGGGGAGUUACCCGAUUCAACUGGAACACUCAAGUUUUUGUCAGAUGGGAAUCCUAUUUGUUUUGGUUUUCAUGACUAUUACAUGGCAAAAACCUUUAAAAUAUUUUAAAUUAUUUGAACUCCAGAAAGGUCAUUACAACUUGGCAAGAUGAAAAACACUCUGAACUGCAAAUCUGACUCAAACAUUUGUGCCUUGACCUCAUUAAAAGCUAUCAUGAUGCCACUGUUGUAAAUUUAAAAAUGCCAGUUUCUUUUCCUUUUCAAGCUAUAUGUAUUCAUAUAAAUGUGUUUACUUACUUCACAAUCUUUAUCAAAUUUUCAAGGAAACUAUGAAGCGAUGUCAUAAGAGGAACUUCUGACAAGAAAAAGUAAAUGAGAGGUCAAACUACUGGAAGUCUUGCAGGGACCUCUGCUAGCCAAUGUAUUAAUAAACAACCCUGGAAAGGAGGUGAGCUGUAGGAUGAUGGCAUUAAGGGUAAGAAGUACAAGUACCAACUGGGAAGAGCUGCAGAAAGAUCAGAGUGAUUGGAUAAGAAACUGACAUGAAACUCGGUGUAGGAAAAUUUUACAUAAAGUGUUCCACAAGGGGAAAUCUCAUCUGAGCUUUCAACCUAAAAUAAUGUACAAUGAGUGGACGAUGACUUCUUUGGAGAGAGGUCUUAGGGUUAUGACCAGUACUACCAAGAAAAUGUCAUAUCAAUGUGAAAUAGUGGUCAAAAAAAAAAAAAAAAAAGGCAAGGCAAAAGCUAUCAAGGAACAGAGAACAAACCAGAGAAUAUCAUAGUGCCACUGAAUAAAUCAGUGUUUUGAUCAUCCUUUGAAUAUUCUGUGUAAUUCUGGUACUGUAAUUCCAGAGGAGAUAUGAAGGAGUUGGAGCAGGAUAACUCCAGGAUGUUCAGCAAGGAAUGGUUUCUAUACUGGCAACCGCUGAGUUCAGUCUGAAAAAGUGAGAAAUUUAGGCGUUAUUGUAGGGAUCUACAUAUAAAAUCAUGAUUACCAGAGAGGGACUGACUGAGUUCACUGUCAUCCAGUUCUACAACAAAAGGUCAUCAAAUUCAGAGAGUGGGAAUGAGGUUGAAAAGAGACAGUGGGAAAUAAUUCAGGCAACGAGUCUGGGAAAAUCCUUGCCAAAGGAUGCUGCCAUAGUGCAGUUUUACAUGGCUCAAGGGCCACCAGGUUUAACUAAACACACAGAAACACAAUGCAAAUGCAGGAAACACCCUGCAGUGAAAAUAUCUGGAUACUGGCAGAGUGUUAAAGAGGAGUGUCAUAUAUUAAUGGCCGGUACAUAUUGUUCCCCAGGUAUCCACUUAAAAUGACUGCUGGAAAACAGGGUAAGGAGCAAUCUAGACCUUUGCGUAGCACAGUGUGGAUGGCCUCAGGUCCAAAUAAGCCCCUGCCUCUCUCCAAAUAAGCUUCUGUAUGUGUAGGCUAUGGCAGAGAUGAAGGAGCUACGUUUCGGUGCUUUCUUACCUUCUCAAGAGCUAUCUGAAAAAUCCAGCACAAAGCAGAAAAAUACACUGAGAAAUCACAUGGUGUGCAUUUCCUCUAACUUGACCACAUCAUCACCUAGGCUACUAAUCUGUAUGUUUUUACUGUGUAAUUGAACUUCACUUUGUGCAAGGAAUAUUUCAUUUUGUGUUGAGGGGAAAAAAAACUAAAGGAGACAAGAAUUGCGGUCAAAGUCUUGUGAAAAACAUCUUAAGCAGUGUCUCCUGCACUGAUAAAAUGUAGGCUUUGGGAAGCUGAGAGGUAUCUAAUACAAGCUUUCCUCUCUCUUGCCGUACCCUGAAACACCUUCAGCAAUACAUUUGCUUUCACAGACAUGAAAUCAGUAUAAAUUCCAGCUACUGAUGCCACAUGCUGUCCCAUCUUUCCACACAGAAUCAUAGAAUAGUUUGGGUUGUAAGGCACCUUAAGGAUCACCCAGUUCAAGUGCCUUUGCCAUUGGCAGGGACACCUUCCACUAGACCAGGUUGCUCAAGGCCCCAUCCAGCCUGGCCUUGAACACUUCCAGGGAUGGAGCAUCCACAGCUUCUCUGGGAAACCUGUUAAACACAAGGUUUUCCCUCCCAGUAUCCUUGAUCAGUCUGUAUAAGUGGGCAGUAAGGCAGUUCAAGGAGUCGAUCCAUCAGUGAGCUAACCUUGCAAACAAAAAUUACUGUUUUCCAGUUGUAUGAGUUCCAUCAUGUGCAAGGGACAGGGGCAAUGCCAGGGAGGUGGCCUGUCUGUUCAGUCACUGGCUUGUGCCUUCCUCACUUCUGUGAAUGCUGACUGAGAUGUACAUACUUAAAGAUACUGCAAAAUCAGCCCUUAGCACUUCUCGCUGUCUUAACAAAGAUAUAAAUAUCUCACCUGCUCUGACCUCCAAAAUCCAAGCUAUCCUGGGAAAGGUGACUUUUGAUUAUAAAUUGUAACCACAUGUUGUAUUAAAGAGUAUGU
Molecule: long non-coding RNA, 5879 nt
Organism: Myiozetetes cayanensis
Lineage: Eukaryota; Metazoa; Chordata; Aves; Passeriformes; Tyrannidae
Exons: 6
Source: RefSeq, a predicted model, not a curated record